This 449-nucleotide ribosomal RNA is filed under the name uncultured bacterium. Its description in RNAcentral is "partial 16S ribosomal RNA". It matches the Rfam family "Bacterial small subunit ribosomal RNA", at positions 29 to 523 of the family's 1533-position model. The record is from RNAcentral.
AACGAACGCUGGCGGCAGGCCUAACACAUGCAAGUCGAACGCUCCAGCAAUGGAGAGUGGCAGACGGGUGAGUAACGCGUGGGAACCUUCCCUAUGGUUCGGAAUAGCCCAGGGAAACUUGGGGUAAUACCGAAUAAGCCCUUCGGGGGAAAGAUUUAUCGCCAUUGGAUGGGCCCGCGUCGGAUUAGCUAGUUGGUGGGGUAACGGCCUACCAAGGCGACGAUCCGUAGCUGGUCUGAGAGGAUGAUCAGCCACACUGGGACUGAGACACGGCCCAGGCUCCUACGGGAGGCAGCAGUGGGGAAUAUUGGACUAUGGGCGCAAGCCUGAUCCAGCCAUGCCGCGUGAGUGACGAAGGCCUUAGGGUUGUAAAGCUCUUUUGGCGGGGAAGAUAAUGACGGUACCCGCAGAAUAAGCUCCGGCUAACUUCGUGCCAGCAGCCGCAGUAA